RNAcentral lists this ribosomal RNA (64 nucleotides) under Clostridioides difficile. RNAcentral's name for it is "partial 16S ribosomal RNA". The stretch from base 1 to 55 matches the Rfam family "Bacterial small subunit ribosomal RNA", at positions 1479 to 1533 of the family's 1533-position model. Lineage: Bacteria; Bacillati; Bacillota; Clostridia; Peptostreptococcales; Peptostreptococcaceae. The record is from RNAcentral.
GGUGAAGUCGUAACAAGGUAGCCGUAUCGGAAGGUGCUGCUGGAUCACCUCCUUUCUAAGGAGA